CUAACCUUUCCCCCUCUCUUUAUUACUCCUGAGUGCUCAGGCAACUUAAUCCAUACUCACGUCCUAUACGCUGGGACCUGUACCACUGAGAGAACUGUUCCUUUACAAACGUGCACGAUGGAUUCAUCCAUGGCACUGAUAAUUGCGAUCACAGCCACAGCAGGGUUCUCCACAGGAUUAAUUAUCGGUGGAGUCAUCGGUAUUGUGGCCACUCUGAUCUUCUACUUAUGGAAAAACAGAGGAAACUCUCCAGGACAGCAGAAUCCCCCUGAUCCUGCGAUCAGAACAGUACCCCUGCCACAGCAGGUCUGGUUUGAGGAACGGCACUCCGCUGUACCACUGGUACACUUUGAUGUACCAAUCAGACGACUAACUCAACAACAUAAGAUUAGAGAAAUUAAAUGAAGUACCUGAAAUGUAAACUGUAAACAAGGAACAGAAGACUCUGGGUUUUUCAGUGUAUCUGAUUACAUCAUUAAAUCAUUCUUUAGCCUAACAUAAAGUAACCUAAAGGUCUGAUGAUAAACUAUUUGCUUUAUAAUUGAGACUGUAAUGUGGGAAUAUUAAUGGACUUUCAGAUUCUGUGGAAACAACCAUUCUGAUUUAACUGAAAUGUACUUCUUUUUCUUUUACUUGAUUGUAAGAGACUAUAUUUUAAUCAAGCUAUUAAAUGU
This is a long non-coding RNA of Ictalurus punctatus (channel catfish), 674 nucleotides long. NCBI's taxonomy places the organism in Eukaryota, Metazoa, Chordata, Actinopteri, Siluriformes, Ictaluridae. The record is from Ensembl.